UCCAAUGGGGGACUCUCCAAAUCCAUCGAUGUGGCCAAGAUUAAGAAGUAUAGAUUGAAGCUACUGGGCAGAUUAUUGCUUUCAUCACAUAAUGCACAUCGGCAUCGAUUUAUGGCAGUUUGAGUUACACUUUUCAAUAGGAUGUGACGAGGAUUUUUAAAGAUGAUUGUACAUUAUACAGGAAAAACCAACUCCUGACAUUGUAUUGCAAAUAUUAUGGCUUAUAUAUUUAAUGAAGGUUCUGAUGAAGUCGCAUUUUCCCU
Molecule: long non-coding RNA, 263 nt
Organism: Vitis riparia (riverbank grape)
Lineage: Eukaryota; Viridiplantae; Streptophyta; Magnoliopsida; Vitales; Vitaceae
Exons: 2
Source: RefSeq, a predicted model, not a curated record